GUAAUGGGAAAUAUGUUCUGCACGGAGUUAAGAAUUCAUCGGAGAUUUGAUUUGAAGGGUUCGUCUCUCGGACGUUCUGCAGAUAAGGUUGAAAUAGAUGAAAACACUAUACUCAAGGAUUUAGAUUUGAACUACUCGUUUUAUCUGGAACCUACUUGGCGAGAGGCUUUAAUAAAGCAGAUCGAGAUUGACAGUAAAUUCCUAGAAGUGCAGAACAUCAUGGACUAUAGCCUUUUGUUGGGUGUGCAUUAUCGUGCCCCACAGCAGCUGCAAUCCCAUAUUUCCUACAGUCGAAGCAUGAGGGCUGAUGGAUUGGGAAUUCUUGCAGAGGAUGAUACUUUUGAGGAAGACAUAUCGACCUACCCACAAGGCCUUGUCUUAGUUCCUCGCACAGAUGAUAACAGUGUUGUUGUUGGCCCCCACAUCAGAGGCAGCCGUUUGCGAGCAUCAUCUGCUGCUGGGGAUGAGGAAGUGGAUCUUUUGUUGCCUGGUACUGCAAGACUCCAAAUCCAACUAGGAGUGAACAUGCCAGCGAGAGCAGAGCAAAUUCCAGGAAAAGAAGAAAAGCAGAUGUUUCACGAGGCUUAUGAUGUCGUUCUAUAUCUGGGUAUCAUCGACAUUCUACAAGAAUACAACAUGAGCAAGAAGAUCGAACAUGCAUACAAAUCCAUUCAAUUUGAUUCAUUGUCCAUCUCUGCUGUGGAUCCUACAUUCUAUUCCCAACGUUUUCUUGAGUUCAUUAUUCAGAAAGUGUUCCCUCAAAAUGCUCUUGCAAGCUGAGAAAUCUGACUCCCAUAUGCAUAUAUCCUUACAAUUCAUUUUCUCCUCCGGAAGAUUUCCUGAUGAAACAGAUGCAAUUAUACAAAGAUUGAAGAUCGGAGAGCCUUUCGUUUUUGAAUUUAUG
Molecule: unclassified non-coding RNA, 904 nt
Filed under: Hevea brasiliensis (rubber tree)
Lineage: Eukaryota; Viridiplantae; Streptophyta; Magnoliopsida; Malpighiales; Euphorbiaceae
Source: RNAcentral